This 477-nucleotide long non-coding RNA is filed under the name Rattus norvegicus (Norway rat). Its description in RNAcentral is "long non-coding RNA NONRATT014117". Lineage: Eukaryota; Metazoa; Chordata; Mammalia; Rodentia; Muridae. The record is from RNAcentral.
CCUGGGCUUUCGGCCUCCUCUUCAUCAACAAGGAGUCAGUAGUAAUGGCUUACCUCUUCACAACCUUCAACGCCUUCCAGGGGGUCUUCAUCUUUGUCUUUCACUGCGCCUUACAGAAAAAGGUGCACAAGGAGUACAGCAAGUGCCUGCGUCACUCCUACUGCUGCAUUCGCUCCCCACCUGGGGGGGGCUCACGGCUCCCUUAAGACCUCAGCCAUGCGAAGUAACACCCGCUACUACACAGGGACCCAGGUACCCGGGCAGGGAAGGCAUAUCCACCAGGUCUCUCUGGGGCCGAGAGGCAGGAGUGCUCUGCCAGAGUCUCAGAAAGAUCCUGGAGGGCAGAGUGGUCCUGGAGACCCCCUCACGUUUGGGCUGUGUCCCCAGAGCCGAAUCCGGAGGAUGUGGAAUGACACCGUGAGGAAGCAGACAGAGUCGUCCUUUAUGGCAGGGGACAUCAACAGCACCCCCACCCUG